RNAcentral lists this ribosomal RNA (506 nucleotides) under uncultured bacterium. RNAcentral describes it as "partial 16S ribosomal RNA". It matches the Rfam family "Bacterial small subunit ribosomal RNA", at positions 30 to 523 of the family's 1533-position model. The record is from RNAcentral.
AUUGAACGCUGGCGGCAGGCCUAACACAUGCAAGUCGAACGGUAACAGGAAACAGCUUGCUGUUUCGCUGACGAGUGGCGGACGGGUGAGUAAUGUCUGGGAAACUGCCUGAUGGAGGGGGAUAACUACUGGAAACGGUAGCUAAUACCGCAUAACGUCGCAAGACCAAAGAGGGGGACCUUCGGGCCUCUUGCCAUCGGAGGGGCCCAGAUGGGAUUAGCUAGUAGGUGGGGUAACGGCUCACCUAGGCGACGAUCCCUAGCUGGUCUGAGAGGAUGACCAGCCACACUGGAACUGAGACACGGUCCAGACUCCUACGGGAGGCAGCAGUGGGGAAUAUUGCACAAUGGGCGCAAGCCUGAUGCAGCCAUGCCGCGUGUAUGAAGAAGGCCUUCGGGUUGUAAAGUACUUUCAGCGGGGAGGAAGGGAGUAAAGUUAAUACCUUUGCUCAUUGACGUUACCCGCAGAAGAAGCACCGGCUAACUCCGUGCCAGCAGCCGCGGUAA